GCAUCGGUGGCUCAGUGGUAGAAUGCUCGCCUGCCACGCGGGCGGCCCAGGUUCGUCGAUUCCCGGCCUAUGCA
Molecule: transfer RNA, 74 nt
Filed under: Cordylochernes scorpioides
Lineage: Eukaryota; Metazoa; Arthropoda; Arachnida; Pseudoscorpiones; Chernetidae
Description: tRNA-Gly
Rfam family: tRNA
About the family: Transfer RNA (tRNA) molecules are approximately 80 nucleotides in length.
Source: RNAcentral